UUGAUGACAACAACAAUGACAAAAAUAAUAACAGUAUAAGUGACAUUGACAAAGACUAUUGGUGUGGCAGUGACAAUAACAACAUUAACAAUAAUGACAAUUGCAAAAUUUUUAUUGAGAGAUGUGUGAAUAAAAAAAACACAAAAAAGUUAUUCUAAUUUAUUAAAAUAAUAUUCUAGGUAGGUAAUAUUUGAUUAUGUAAAUA
This 205-nucleotide long non-coding RNA is filed under the name Carica papaya (papaya). Its description in RNAcentral is "long non-coding RNA (CPAP_LNC014181)". Lineage: Eukaryota; Viridiplantae; Streptophyta; Magnoliopsida; Brassicales; Caricaceae. The record is from RNAcentral.